RNAcentral lists this ribosomal RNA (445 nucleotides) under uncultured bacterium. Its description in RNAcentral is "SSU rRNA". It matches the Rfam family "Bacterial small subunit ribosomal RNA", at positions 26 to 518 of the family's 1533-position model. The record is from RNAcentral.
AGAACGAACGCUGGCGGCAUGCCUAACACAUGCAAGUCGAACGCUCUCUUCGGAGGGAGUGGCGCACGGGUGAGUAACGCGUGGGAACCUGCCUUGGAGUGGGGGAUAACCGAUGGAAACGUCGGCUAAUACCGCAUACGUCCUGAGGGAGAAAGAUUUAUCGCUCUGAGAGGGGCCCGCGUCGGAUUAGCUAGUUGGUGGGGUAACGGCCUACCAAGGCGAUGAUCCGUAGCUGGUCUGAGAGGAUGAUCAGCCACACUGGGACUGAGACACGGCCCAGACUCCUACGGGAGGCAGCAGUGGGGAAUAUUGGACAAUGGGCGCAAGCCUGAUCCAGCAAUGCCGCGUGAGUGAUGACGGCCUUAGGGUUGUAAAGCUCUUUCGGCGGGACGAUGAUGACGGUACCCGCAGAAGAACGCCCGGCUAACUUCGCGCCAGCAGCCGC